Long non-coding RNA from Homo sapiens (human), 708 nucleotides. The record is from Ensembl. Lineage: Eukaryota; Metazoa; Chordata; Mammalia; Primates; Hominidae.
GGAGGCAUGUCAUCAUUAAUUGACAGCAUUUUCCUUUCUUAAUGGUGCACAGAUUAAUGAAAGGGCCUCAGAACUGAUGACAUCUUAGAGCCAGUAGAUGCAGUAAAGUAUAAAAGGUUUAAGAUGGAGAAGAAUUAAAGUGCUACAGUCAUUCAGUUAACAUCCGUUCUAGUAGUGGGACAGACUUGUUAAGUGCCAGGAUAGAAACUGGGUAGCCCAGGAAAGAUGCCCAGAGGAGGGGACGUCUACUUGGAGAUGUAAAGGCUGAUGUAGGAUAGAAAUACCUGGAGGAAAUGCCUUUGAGAGAUCUCAAAGCAAGGCUUGUUGGACAAAUAAAUGAAGAUGAGCCCAAGAGCCCAGGAGAGGGACCGGGAACAGCAGGGCCUCCGUGACUCACACAAGCUUCAUCCCUGAACCAAGGACGCAGCCUGCCAACAAUGGCCCCAAGCCACACCCCGCCACAGGGGGAACUGAUGCUGCGGUGAGAAGUGACAGCUUUCUGUUGACUCUUUUUUUUUUCAAGCAGAAUAUGAAUUGAGACAUACUUUCAUUUUCAUAAUCAGAACCUAACACUUAGUAACCAAUGUUGGUGGAAGCAAAUGAGAUCACAGUUUGUCUGUUCCAAACUCAUCUCUGGGAAAAGGAGGAGGAAAAAUUAUUGGCACUAUGUUCAGAAUCAUAGCUGAAGAUGCAGAAAUUGUUCAUCCC